RNA transcript from Calidris pugnax (ruff), 5140 nucleotides. It is a transcript of the gene named ribosomal RNA processing 12 homolog, with no coding region annotated. Lineage: Eukaryota; Metazoa; Chordata; Aves; Charadriiformes; Scolopacidae. The transcript has 35 exons. The record is from RefSeq and is a predicted model, not a curated record.
GGGGUGCGGCACGUGGAGCCGGUUCCAGCAUGGCGCGGAGCGGGCGGCUCCGCUCGGGGGCCGCCGCCAAGCUGAAGCGGUGGCGGAAGGGCCACAGCAGCGACAGCAACCCGGAGACCCGCCAGCACCGCCUGGCAGCGCGCAGCCGCUUCUACAGCCGGCCGGCGGAGAAGAGCAACCUGACGGUGGACGCGGUGAAGCUGCACAAUGAGCUGCAGUCGGGGCCCUCGCGUGCGGAGCGGCCGAGUGCCAGCGCUCGGCUCCGCAUGGAGGAGGAGGAGGACGCCGGGGAGGCUGCCACGGAGAAGUCCUCUGGCACCUUCCUGAGCGGGCUGAGCGACUGCACCAACGUCACCUUCAGCAAGGUGCAGCGCUUCUGGGAGUCCAACUCCGCCGCUCACAAAGAGAUCUGCGCCGUGCUGGCAGCGGUGACGGAGGUGAUCCGCUCCCGGGGGGGCAAGGAGAGCGAGACGGAGUACUUCGCCACACUGAUGACCACGCUGGAGGCCGUGGAGUCCCCUGAGUCGCUGGCUGCUGUCGCCUACCUGCUUAACCUUGUCCUAAAGCGAGUCCCAAGUCCUGUGCUUAUAAAAAAGUUCUCAGAUGCCUCAAAAGCCUUCAUGGGUAUCGUCUCCUCGCAGGCCUGCAACAGCUCCACCUCUGCCCUGCGAUGGGUCCUCUCUUGCCUGGCCACACUGCUGAGGAAGCAGGACUUGGCAGCCUGGAGCUACCCCGUCACCCUCCAGGUCUAUCACGGCUUGCUGAGCUUCUGUGUUCAUACCAAGCCUAAGGUGAGGAAAGCAGCACAGCACGGUGUGUGCUCCGUCCUGAGGGGCAGCGAGUUCAUGUUUGGAGACAUGGCCCCUGAGCAUCACCCCGCAGCACCUUCCACCGCUAAGUUCUGUGUGCAGGAGAUCGAAAAAGCCGGAGGCACCAAGGAGGCCACCACCACCCUCCACAUCCUCACCCUGCUGCGGGACCUGCUGCCCUGCUUCCCCGCAGCCGUGGUGAAGACCUGCUGUGAGACCUUGCUCCGAGUCAUGACUCUCAGCCACGUGCUGGUGACGGCGUGUGCCAUGCAAGCCUUCCACAGCCUCUUCAGUGCCCAGGCCAACGUGACCUGCCUGCCGGCUGAGCUGAACGCCCAGAUCGUCACCGCCCUCUACGACUAUGUGCCCAGCACGAGUGACCUGCAGCCGCUGCUGACCUGGCUGUCCACCAUGGAACGGGCACACACCAACCUGGGCAGGCUGCAGAAGGACCUGUGCUGGGCUCACCUGCCCCGGCUCUUCUCGGCCGCCAUGAACUGCUUCCUCUCCCCACACUCCCAGGUGGUGUCAGCAGCAGCGCAGACCCUGGAGAUACUCCUGACCGAGUGCAUUGCUCCCCACAUGGAUGACCUGGGCACCGUCUCUGCAUCUGCCCCAGCCCCUGCCAGCUACCUCUGCAAGAUGUUCAGAUCAGUGGAGGAGGGCCUGACGUAUCGUUUCCACGCGGCGUGGGACAAGGUGCUGCGGGUGCUGGAGGUCUUCUUCAGGAGGUGUGGGAAGCAGUGCCACCCCAUCAUGAGGAAGUGUCUCCGGUCCCUCUGUGACCUACGUCUCUCCCCACACUUUCCCUACACGGCUGAAGUGGACCAGGCAGUGGGGGCUGCCGUGAGUGCCAUGGGCCCUGAGGUGGUGCUGGAAGCCGUGCCCCUGGAGAUCGAUGGCAAGGAGGAGACACUGGAUUUCCCCCGCAGCUGGCUCCUGCCAGUGCUGCGGGACUACGUGCAGGGCGCACGGCUGGGCUUCUUCACCAGCUACUUCUUGCCCUUGGCAGCUGCUCUGAAGAACAGAGCCACGGAAUUUACCCAGGCUGGGAAGAGCGUGGAGGCCAAGAUCUACGACACACUGCAGUGGCAGGUCUGGACCCUGCUGCCUGGCUUCUGCACCCACCCCACAGAUGUGCUGGGGUCCUUCAAGGGGCUGGCCCGCACCCUGGGCAUGGCCAUCAGCGAGCGCCCGGACCUGCGCCCCACCGUGUGUCAAGCCCUGCGCACCCUCAUCCACAAAGGAUGCGAGACAGAUGCAGAGCGGGCAGAAGUGGGUCGCUUUGCCAAAAAUUUCUUGCCCAUCCUGUUCAACGUGUACAGCCAGUCCGAGGAGGACGGGGGCAGCAGUGCUCAGCGCCGCUCCGUGCUGGACACUGUCCGAGCUUACUUGACCGUCACCGAUCCCCAGAUGGUGUGUGGGUUCCUGCAGAAAGCCAGCGAGAAGCUGACCAGUCCUGAGAGCUCUGAGUUUACCAGACUCUCCAUCCUGGACCUGGUGGUGGCAAUGGCACCCUACGCUGAUGAGCAGUCCCUGGCUUCCCUGUACUGCACCAUCCAGCCUUCCCUCCAGAGCAAGGAACGCAGCAUGCAGAAGAAGGCGUACCGUGUGCUGGAGGAGGUGUGUGCUGCUCCCCAUGCCCCCUGCCAGGCCUUCAUCCGCUCCCACCUGCAGGACCUGCAGACAGCUCUCCUGGACUCGCUCAAGAGCGCGGCGUCCCCGGCCAAGAGGCCCCGCCUGAAGUGCCUGCUCCACAUCGUGAAGCAGCUCUCCGCAGAGCACGAGCCCUUUGUCACUGCCCUGGUCCCGGAGGUGAUCCUCUGCACCAAGGAGGUGUCGGUGGGGGCCCGCAAGAACGCCUUCGUGUUGCUCGUGGAGAUGGGGCAUGCCUUCAUCCGCUUUGGGCCCACACCCCAAGAGGGCAUGGAGCGGUUCCUGCUCCUGAUCUACGCAGGGCUCACGGGCUCCGUCACCAUGAUCAGCUGCACAGUCCUGGCAUUGACCCGCUUGUUCUUCGAGUUCAAAGAUCAUCUGGAGCUGAGUGUGGUGGAGCAGCUCCUGCAGAACAUCUGCCUGCUGCUGGCCUCCCGCACACGGGACGUGGUGAAGGCGGCCCUGGGCUUCCUCAAAGUCACACUGCUGCUGGUGGACCCCAAGCUGCUGGCCAAGCACGUCCAGACGAUGCUGGAGGCCAUUGGGAACCUUUCAGACGACAUGAGACGCCAUUUCCGUAUGAAGCUACGAAACCUCUUCACCAGGUUCAUCCGCAAGUUCGGCUUUGAGCUGGUGAAGGGGCUGCUGCCGGCCGAGUACCACAAGGUGCUGGUCAACAUCCGCAAGGCGGAAGCCCGAAGCCGCAAGCAGCGCGCCCUGAAGCAGGCAGCUGCAAAUACGGAUGAAGAGGAGGCACCACCUGCACAGCCCAGAGGAGAGAGCAUGGAGGAGAUCCUGGCUGACUCAGAGGAUGAGGAGGAGGAAGAGGAGGAACGGCAGCGGAGCAAGGAGAGGAGGAAGCAAGCCCGGCAGAAGGGACAGGCCUGGCUGAAGGAAGGGGAAGAGGAUGAGCCCCUCAACUUCCUGGACCCCAACGUGUCCCAGCGGGUGCUGGCCACCAAGCCAGGCCCCAAGCGGUCCAGAGGAGUGAGCCAUGACUUCCAGGUGUCUGAGGAUGGGCGCCUGAUCAUCCAUGAAGAAGAGGAUGAGGUGGACGAUGAUGAAGCCAAAGGAACAGACGAGGAGAUGGAAGAUGUGCUGCAAGAUGUGGGACUCCGCAGUAAGAAAAGCCAGAAGCGUCGGUUCAGAGAGGAGCCAGACGAUGAGGAAGCUGAGGCUGGGACCUACCCUAAGUACAGAGCUGGAGGCUCUGGGAUCCACCGGCAGCUGGGCAAGGAGCCAGCCAUCGGUGCAGAGUACAGAUCCAAGAAAGGCAAAGGCGACGUGAAGAAGAAGGGCCAGCUCGACCCCUAUGCCUAUAUCCCCCUGAACAGAGCUAAACUCAACAGAAGGAAGCGGGCGAAAAUGCAGGGCCAGUUCAAGGGCCUGAUGAAGGGAGCCCAGCGCGGGGCCAAGGCCGGCCGCAGGAACCGUCUGAAGGCCCAGCGCCCCUGAGGAGCUUCAGGUGCUCAGCCUGCCCCUGCCCAAGGACGGACAACACCAUGUGGCCUCUGGGCACGAGGGAAUGGGGGCUUCAUGAGUGGAGCAGGGGGCACUCCUCUGCAGAAGGUGGCCUGCGUCUGUUUGAGGCUUGGUGGGAAGCCACCCUGUGGCAUUACGGACUCUUGGCCCAAGCCCUGCCCUCCUGUGCCUGGAGGAAAGGUGCUGGGUUGCCUGGCACAGGGGGUGUGUGUGUGUGUGUGUGUGUGCGGGUGUGUGUGAGGCAAAUAACAUGUAAUGAAUUCUCUAUAUUGAUAAAUACCUACUGUUCCUACCUAGCCCAGAUUCAUCCUUUCCUUCCCCUAAAAGCAGUGUGCACCCUGUCCCUUGUGCUCUGCCUGCAAUGGGUCCUGCUGUGCCCCACAGGGCUCACGCCUGCAGCAGCCUGGGCUGGAGCCCUCUCCCCAGCGUGGAGCUCGCUUGGGGGCUGCCAGGAGCAGUGCUGGGGCACAGGGCAGUGUCCUGUGCCCACCUGGCAGACGGGCUGAGUCGUGGGGUUGGCCAAAGGGAGAAGCCACAGACGGUGAAAAGUCCUUUGCUACAACCAGCUUCCUCGUGGAGUCUCCCUCUUGGCAGCAUCUUCUCCUCUCUUCUGUGCCGUGGCGGGAAUGUCUGCUAUUUGCCUGUAACUGUUUUUGAUGCUGCCUCUUGCUUUUCUCAUAUCAGCUGUGCCUGGUUGUGGGGCAGAACAGUUUGCUGCAAAUUUCUUCAAAGUGGCUGGAAAACUGCUACUGCUAACCUCCGUGCCUUCCCCUUUCCGUGAGAGCUGAGAAAAUCCCUUUCCUCUGCUCUGGCCGCCUCCUGCCAGCUGGGCUUGAGCAGCGCAAAUAAUCCUCGACCUUUUUAGCUGCCCAGCCGUCUCAGGUUGGCCUCAGCAUCUGUUUUUGUCCAGUUAUUUCUGCACAGAGCCCAAAAGAUGGUGUUUGGCUAAAGCACGCCAGUAGAUCUGAGCGUGUGGAUACAGGUCCUGUUGCUCAGACUGCAAAGAACAUGUAUUUGUGAAGGUAGCUGGCUCUCCCUUCCUCUUCUAUAUUAAAAAGCCUUUAGUCCUUUGUCAUUUCUUGCCGUGGUAGCUUACAUGCUGGAAUUGCAACCCUUCUCAGUCUCCUAAUAAGCUAAAGGGAUUGUGCUUGUUCAGCCUCUUACUGCAGGCUGCAAAUCCAGUUUUGUGGCUC